Molecule: ribosomal RNA, 484 nt
Filed under: uncultured bacterium
Lineage: Bacteria
Description: partial 16S ribosomal RNA
Rfam family: Bacterial small subunit ribosomal RNA
Source: RNAcentral
AUUGAACGCUGGCGGCAGGCCUAACACAUGCAAGUCGAGCGGAUGAAGGGAGCUUGCUCCUGGAUUCAGCGGCGGACGGGUGAGUAAUGCCUAGGAAUCUGCCUGGUAGUGGGGGAUAACGUCCGGAAACGGGCGCUAAUACCGCAUACGUCCUGAGGGAGAAAGUGGGGGACCUUCGGACCUCACGCUAUCAGAUGAGCCUAGGUCGGAUUAGCUAGUUGGUGGGGUAAAGGCCUACCAAGGCGACGAUCCGUAACUGGUCUGAGAGGAUGAUCAGUCACACUGGAACUGAGACACGGUCCAGACUCCUACGGGAGGCGGCAGUGGGGAAUAUUGGACAAUGGGCGAAAGCCUGAUCCAGCCAUGCCGCGUGUGUGAAGAAGGUCUUCGGAUUGUAAAGCACUUUAAGUUGGGAGGAAGGGCAGUAAGUUAAUACCUUGCUGUUUUGACGUUACCAACAGAAUAAGCACCGGCUAACUUCGUG